Molecule: ribosomal RNA, 484 nt
Filed under: uncultured bacterium
Lineage: Bacteria
Description: partial 16S ribosomal RNA
Rfam family: Bacterial small subunit ribosomal RNA
Source: RNAcentral
AUUGAACGCUGGCGGCAGGCCUAACACAUGCAAGUCGAGCGGAUGAAGGGAGCUUGCUCCUGGAUUCAGCGGCGGACGGGUGAGUAAUGCCUAGGAAUCUGCCUGGUAGUGGGGGAUAACGUCCGGAAACGGGCGCUAAUACCGCAUACGUCCUGAGGGAGAAAGUGGGGGAUCUUCGGACCUCACGCUAUCAGAUGAUCCUAGGUCGGAUUAGCUAGUUGGUGGGGUAAAGGCCUACCAAGGCGACGAUCCGUAACUGGUCUGAGAGGAUGAUCAGUCAAACUGGAACUGAGACACGGUCCAGACUCCUAAGGGAGGCAGCAGUGGGGAAUAUUGGACAAUGGGCGAAAGCCUGAUCCAGCCAUGCCGCGUGUGUGAAGAAGGUCUUCGGAUUGUAAAGCACUUUAAGUUGGGAGGAAGGGCAGUAAGUUAAUACCUUGCUGUUUUGACGUUACCAACAGAAUAAGCACCGGCUAACUUCGUG